This 231-nucleotide ribosomal RNA is filed under the name uncultured bacterium. Its description in RNAcentral is "partial 16S ribosomal RNA". It matches the Rfam family "Bacterial small subunit ribosomal RNA", at positions 99 to 334 of the family's 1533-position model. The record is from RNAcentral.
CGGACGGGUGAGUAAUGUCUGGGAAACUGCCCGAUGGAGGGGGAUAACUACUGGAAACGGUAGCUAAUACCGCAUAACGUCGCAAGACCAAAGAGGGGACCUUCGGGCCUCUUGCCAUCGGAUGUGCCCAGAUGGGAUUAGCUAGUAGGUGGGGUAACGGCUCACCUGGGCGACGAUCCCUAGCUGGUCUGAGAGGAUGACCAGCCACACUGGAACUGAGACACGGUCCAG